Molecule: ribosomal RNA, 500 nt
Filed under: uncultured bacterium
Lineage: Bacteria
Description: partial 16S ribosomal RNA
Rfam family: Bacterial small subunit ribosomal RNA
Source: RNAcentral
AUUGAACGCUAGCGGGAUGCCUUACACAUGCAAGUCGAACGGCAGCGCGGACUUCGGUCUGGCGGCGAGUGGCGAACGGGUGAGUAAUGUAUCGGAACGGGCCCAGUAGCGGGGGAUAACUACUCGAAAGAGUAGCUAAUACCGCAUACGCCCUACGGGGGAAAGGGGGGGAUCGCAAGACAGCUCACGAUUGGAGCGGCCCAUAUAGAAUUAGCUAGUUGGGGAGGUAAAGGCUCACCAAGGCGACGAUCCGUAGAUGGUUUGAGAGGACGACCAGCCACACUGGGACUGAGACACGGCCCAGACUCCUACGGGAGGCAGCAGUGGGGAAUUUUGGACAAUGGGGGCAACCCUGAUCCAGCCAUUCCGCGUGUGCGAUGAAGGCCUUCGGGUUGUAAAGCACUUUUGGCAGGAAAGAAAUCGCACGGAUUAAUACUCUGUGUGGAUGACGGUACCUGCAGAAUAAGCACCGGCUAACUACGUGCCAGCCGCCGCCGUAA